This 253-nucleotide ribosomal RNA is filed under the name uncultured bacterium. RNAcentral describes it as "partial 16S ribosomal RNA". It matches the Rfam family "Bacterial small subunit ribosomal RNA", at positions 524 to 776 of the family's 1533-position model. The record is from RNAcentral.
UACGUAGGCAGCGAGCGUUGUUCGGAGUUACUGGGCGUAAAGGGUGUGUAGGCGGUUGUUUAAGGUUGGUGUGAAAUCUCCCGGCUCAACUGGGAGGGUGCGCCGAAUACUGAAUGACUAGAGUGUGGGAGAGGUGAGUGGAAUUCCUGGUGUAGCGGUGAAAUGCGUAGAUAUCAGGAGGAACACCGGUGGUGUAGACGGCUCACUGGACCAUAACUGACGCUGAGACACGAAAGCGUGGGUAGCAAACAGG